CCGCUCAUUAAACAAACGCCUCGAUGACGUCAGGAAGUAUCGCGGGACCAUCGAAAAUCAAUCGUCGCGGCUGGGAAACACCAUCGCAAGUUAUCGAUCGAUUCCUCGAUCGUUCGCUACGUCACUGGUUUUUCAUUGUACGUACGGUCUAACUCUUUCUACUUGCCGCUUAGUUGCAGGAACGUGGUCCGGUUCGAAGGUCUGUUUCUACUGCCGUCGCUGCACACGCGUCGGAUAGUAGAACAAACUGCGCGCAACCAGACCAACUUUCCGUCGACGGAUUUACUCCGAUUAAUUGGUCGCUCUUCGAACGCGAUUCUGCUUUCAGACUUCAAAUGUUCCGAGAAUGAACAUUUGACGGCAGGUGGAGAGUCUCCUCGAUUUCUGGCCGAGCGAAGAGAACGCGGAGGAGAGGCUGCUAGCAUUCAUUAAACAAACGCCUCGAUGACGUCAAGAAUAACCGCGCUCCCCUUGAAAAGUACUCACGUAAUUCACGCCUGGGAAUAUUAUUGAUUCUCGACGCAUCCGCGUAUCGUCCGAGUUACUGGAGCAGAGAUACGUCUUUAAGAAGGCUUUUUAGACCGAAUCGAGAAUCGUGGUUGACUUUGAUAUUAAAUAUAUUCAGAACGUGAAUUAAAUUAUGUAAUUGAUUUCAAUUUGAAGAUUCACGGAAUUGAGAAGGCUUUGC
RNAcentral lists this unclassified non-coding RNA (688 nucleotides) under Bombus terrestris (buff-tailed bumblebee). Its description in RNAcentral is "misc RNA ENSBTSG00005035912.1". Lineage: Eukaryota; Metazoa; Arthropoda; Insecta; Hymenoptera; Apidae. The record is from RNAcentral.